Danio rerio (zebrafish) is the source of this 323-nucleotide non-coding RNA. The record is from Ensembl. NCBI's taxonomy places the organism in Eukaryota, Metazoa, Chordata, Actinopteri, Cypriniformes, Danionidae.
CAGAGUACAGAUUAUGGAGGUAUCUGAAGUUGAACUAACUGGAAGCAGGGAACCAUACUAAUAAAGUUCCUUAAGCAGGUUCCUUGUAAAGAUUAACCCAGGGAAGGAUCGAAAGUGGAGAAGACCAGAUCAAGAAAGACUAUAUCAAGAUCUGCGGUCAGUUCAAAGGAUGUUUUGCAUUGGACUGUUUUUUUUUGGCUUUGACCCUUGCUUGCCCCUGACCUCACUCUUGGACUGCCCUGUUGGAUUUUCAGUUUAUUUAAUUAAAAAUUUUUUUUUGGUUCUGGGUAGAUGCUAAUAAAUAUUUAAUUGUAAUUAUUUAA